UCCGAAUUAGUCCAGUGGUUAGGAUUCCGGUCUCUCAUUUGAGCGACACCGGCGGCCCGGGUUCAAUUCCCGGAUUCGGAA
This is a non-coding RNA of Microthyrium microscopicum, 81 nucleotides long. Lineage: Eukaryota; Fungi; Ascomycota; Dothideomycetes; Microthyriales; Microthyriaceae. The record is from the annotation of a GenBank genome assembly.